AGAGUUUGAUCAUGGCUCAGGACGAACGCUGGCGGCAUGCCUAAUACAUGCAAGUCGAACGAGCUGACAGAGUGCUUGCACUCUCGACGCGAGUGGCGGACGGGUGAGUAACACGUGGGAAACCUACCUAUAAGUAUGGGAUAACAUUCGGAAACGGAUGCUAAUACCAUAUAGAUUUUAGUUCCGCAUGGAACUGAAAGAAAAGACGGCUUUGCUGUCGCUUAUAGAUGGUCCCGCGGCGCAUUAGCUAGUUGGUGAGAUAAAAGCUCACCAAGGCUAUGAUGCGUAGCCGACCUGAGAGGGUAACCGGCCACACUGGGACUGAGACACGGCCCAGACUCCUACGGGAGGCAGCAGUAGGGAAUCUUCCGCAAUGGACGAAAGUCUGACGGAGCAAUGCCGCGUGAAUGAAGAAGGUCUUCGGAUCGUAAAAUUCUGUUGUUAGAGAAGAACAAGGAGUAAGUAACUACUACUCCCUUGACGGUAUCUAACCAGAAAGCCACGGCUAACUACGUGCCAGCAGCCGCGGUAAUACGUAGGUGGCAAGCGUUGUCCGGAUUUAUUGGGCGUAAAGGGAGCGCAGGCGGUGAUUUAAGUCUGAUGUGAAAGCCCACGGCUCAACCGUGGAAGGUCAUUGGAAACUGGAUCACUUGAAUAUAGAAGAGGAAAGUGGAAUUCCAUGUGUAGCGGUGAAAUGCGUAGAUAUAUGGAGGAACACCAGUGGCGAAGGCGACUUUCUGGUCUAUUAUUGACGCUGAGGCUCGAAAGCAUGGGUAGCAAACAGGAUUAGAUACCCUGGUAGUCC
RNAcentral lists this ribosomal RNA (805 nucleotides) under uncultured bacterium. RNAcentral's name for it is "bacterial SSU rRNA". It matches the Rfam family "Bacterial small subunit ribosomal RNA", at positions 8 to 796 of the family's 1533-position model. The record is from RNAcentral.